Oncorhynchus gorbuscha (pink salmon) is the source of this 852-nucleotide long non-coding RNA. RefSeq lists it as uncharacterized. NCBI's taxonomy places the organism in Eukaryota, Metazoa, Chordata, Actinopteri, Salmoniformes, Salmonidae. The record is from RefSeq and is a predicted model, not a curated record. The transcript is spliced from 2 exons.
CAUCCCACCAAAACCGGCUAACAUUUCAGGCAGUCUUUUCAAGGAGCUCUUACACUAAAAGGGCUUUAUCAUCAUCACAAUUUUCAGAGUAUUAUUCCAACCUCAUAGUAUAGAAAUGUAUAUAACACACAGGGAAAUCCUGUUUUUGACUGCACUGGGCCUUUAAAUCUAGUAUAAAAAUGGUGUUUGAGACAAGAACUCAACUCUUCAUUGCAUAGACAGCAUAUAGUUACUGAUGGUAAGAGACUGAUUGUGGUUUCUUUCUAGUUUGGUGAUUAAUAUCUGAUGUGUGUGAGGAAUACUGGGUCUGGAGGGCUGUUCAAACUACAUAACUAUUACCUCUCUCUCCAUCUGAACAGAACCUACAGAAUCUACUGGGAUUUAUUCUUUAACAGUUAGGUCCUCUACUCAUCUACACUCUGAAUUACUCACGGAGGGGACUAUCACCAUGGUGAUGUUGACCAUCCUUCUGUCCUCAGUGCUGCAUUUGCUCUGGGCGAGGCAUGUAGUAGAGACUCCACCUCACACGUACUCCUCAUACAUUCAUUCAUUUUAGUUGUUGUACACUGUGAGACUUCAGUAAAACACCUUAGAAUGCACAGUAAAAUACCUUGAAUGUGUUUUACUUAAUGAAUGCUGUAGAUUGCACUGCAUUAUGGGUAAAAUGCAGAAAUUACUGUUAUUAACUUUACUUGGAAGCCUCCAAUAAAAAUUACUCUAACAUGCUAUGUUUCUUUACAGUAAUAGUUUAUGAUUACUGUAGAUUAAAAUGUUCUGUUUCAAACGCCAAUCUCAUGCUGUCGGGUGAGAUGCAGACUAUUUCAGUUUUUUAAUAAAUAUAUUUUUUAAUCA